UACGUAGGGGGCGAGCGUUGUCCGGAUUUAUUGGGCGUAAAGAGCUCGUAGGCGGCUUGGCAAGUCGGGUGUGAAACCUCCAGGCUCAACCUGGAGACGCCACUCGAUACUGCCAUGGCUAGAGUCCGGUAGGGGACCACGGAAUUCCUGGUGUAGCGGUGAAAUGCGCAGAUAUCAGGAGGAACACCGGUGGCGAAGGCGGUGGUCUGGGCCGGCACUGACGCUGAGGAGCGAAAGCGUGGGGAGCAAACAGG
RNAcentral lists this ribosomal RNA (254 nucleotides) under uncultured bacterium. RNAcentral's name for it is "partial 16S ribosomal RNA". It matches the Rfam family "Bacterial small subunit ribosomal RNA", at positions 524 to 776 of the family's 1533-position model. The record is from RNAcentral.